AGCGAACGCUGGCGGCAGGCUUAACACAUGCAAGUCGAGCGGGCGUAGCAAUACGUCAGCGGCAGACGGGUGAGUAACGCGUGGGAACAUACCUUUUGGUUCGGAACAACACAGGAACUUGUGCUAAUACCGGAUAAGCCCUUACGGGGAAAGAUUUAUCGCCGAAAGAUUGGCCCGCGUCUGAUUAGCUAGUUGGUGAGGUAACGGCUCACCAAGGCGACGAUCAGUAGCNGGUCUGAGAGGAUGAUCAGCCACAUUGGGACUGAGACA
RNAcentral lists this ribosomal RNA (270 nucleotides) under uncultured bacterium. RNAcentral describes it as "partial 16S ribosomal RNA". It matches the Rfam family "Bacterial small subunit ribosomal RNA", at positions 29 to 326 of the family's 1533-position model. The record is from RNAcentral.